Lagenorhynchus albirostris (white-beaked dolphin) is the source of this 939-nucleotide long non-coding RNA. RefSeq lists it as uncharacterized. The record is from RefSeq and is a predicted model, not a curated record. The transcript is spliced from 3 exons. NCBI's taxonomy places the organism in Eukaryota, Metazoa, Chordata, Mammalia, Artiodactyla, Delphinidae.
GCGGCACCCAUGUAGAGGAGGGGUCAGGAGUCUCCCUAGGGGCUCAGCCCCUGCCUGAUGUCACACUCAGCUCCAUGGGAACCCAACAGCUGCUGGCGACAUGCUGUCCUGGUGUGCGUUCUGAACACGGCCUUCAGGGGCACUUAACCCUGUCUGAUGGUCUUUGUUGUUCAUGGAAGAGUCGAUCACCUUCACAUUGAUUGCUACAACCAGUAUUUGGUCUCCAUGAUGCGUUUUUGAUGCUAAGAAUGUGCAAGAAGGAACACUUUUCCAUCCAUGAUUUUUGAGGGCCGGCGGGAGGCUGCAGGUCCGAGGGCUGUUGGCCACGCAGCUCACUGAUCGAGACCCGCGGGCCAGACCUGCCCUGGGCGCCUCCACUCGCCAUCCCGACUGCUGGCCCAGCAGCUGCGGUCUAAAGGAAGUAAUGCCCUCCCGGGGCAGGAUUUUAAGUUCAGCUGCUCCUCUGUCUUUCGGCUGCGGGGAUGACGACACUUAUGGUCCCCGGAGACUGAGACGCCCUCCUCCAGUGAAGCCUGGAUGGCCGCUUGGGGAGCAAGCCCGCCACACCACCCUGUGCCAACCAAAGACUCGGGGAGAAUGUUCUUCUGUCCACAGGAGAAAGGACGGCAAGCCAAGGCCCAUCCACGCCACGCACUCCACGCGUGACACCACAGAGCAUGUGUGAGCUUCACACACAUGGUGCCGAGUGAAAGACGCCAGACUCACACGUGCUGCGUUGUUCCGUCCGCGGAAGCUCGAGGGUGGGAAAGCUGAUUGGAGGCGAUGCGUCGGUGGCGGGAAGGGCACAGGGAACUUUCCGGAUGAUGGAAGUGUCGUCUGUCUUGAUGGUGUGUGGGUCACGUGGGUGUGUGUUUGUCACAAUUCUUAGAAUUGUACACAUUCAGACGCUUUAGAUUAAAAGAGAGAAGCUGGGAUUUA